Daphnia carinata is the source of this 1283-nucleotide long non-coding RNA. RefSeq lists it as uncharacterized. The record is from RefSeq and is a predicted model, not a curated record. The transcript has 4 exons. Lineage: Eukaryota; Metazoa; Arthropoda; Branchiopoda; Diplostraca; Daphniidae.
AGCAGAAACUAAGUUCUGCACAGAUCUGUUAACGUAAUUAACCGAAUCACGGAUGAUUUGUGUGAAUUAAGUUGCAGUUGACAUCUUCUAACGGUAAUCAUUCAGUCACAAUAGAGGUAUCACAGCACAUCUACUAUGACUGAAUGGUUACCUUUAGACUGCAAUGCCACACUGUUUUCUUCAAUCACUGGAGGAAACGAAUUGAAACUCGACUAUAUUGCUUUUUCUUGUGAAAAAGUAAGAAAUGGUUGCCCAUGUUGGCGAAACUGGUUGUCGUACGUUGUCACGCUUUUUCACCAUAUCAUGGCUUCACCCCCAUCUGUCAUUUGUACCAAUUGUUGAUAGUGGCAUAACAAGCCUUCACAUCUAGAUUUUUCCCAGUGGGGCUGGAUCCUUUUUUUUCGAUCACAACCACUUGUUUCAGUUGUUCCAAGUGUUGAAACUUUACUCAUUCAAGUACUGAGAGGUGGCUGCCCAUUACAAAAAAAGAGGUUAUCAUGGCUCUGUAACGGCAUGUGUGCAAAAUUGAAAAAAUUCUGUGCUGCAAUGGUCUGUAGUAUGUGCCCAACAUAUAACGAUGUGAACAGCAAAAAAGGGUUGGUCAUUCCAAAUAUCAAAAGUGCUGAAUUCUGGAAAAUAUACCUAUUUUCUGCCGUUUCGUCAAUCUCUAUCCAGUAUGUUUGACAAUGGAAGCCUUGCUCACUCAGACUGCUCCAGAUCAAUGUCAGGCAAAGUCACAUGACUAUGUAAUUAUUUUGCUGUGGUGUUUCAUUGUACAGCUGAAUUAGAUUACAUGCCUACUGUGAAAGAGAUCAAGAAUCUAUUACCGAAACGGGCUCUCUCCGUUCGCGACAUCAGACUUCUCCAGUCGGCCGUUCUGACGCAGACCUCCUGAAAAGAAGUUGGAACGUUUUGAACUGUCUAGGACCAAACAUCAAGUUCUAAAUCUGUUUUUGUUUUCUGCCUGGAAAUAAAAAAUUACAACUAAUUGAAAUGUCAUUAUUGAGUUGUUUGCAUAGGUAUUAGAAAAUAGGCAGUCGCCUUCUGGUUAGUUUCUUUUGCUGUCCGACGCCAUGCAUAUCGUGCCAAACGAUCUGAAUUAUACUUAGCGUUCAUUCGGAAUAGCUGUUUACUUCCUCGACGUCAUGCCUCACGUUAUAUCGACUCGCAAAAUCAAUUCAGAAGAGGGUCCCUCUUCGUUGACGUAUGGAACGAAAGCUUUGCGGAACGGCGAGACACUAGCAAAUUCCGGAUGUGGAAAUUUCGAAGACUGCUACCUGCAC